Molecule: ribosomal RNA, 377 nt
Filed under: uncultured eukaryote
Lineage: Eukaryota
Description: partial 18S ribosomal RNA
Rfam family: Eukaryotic small subunit ribosomal RNA
Source: RNAcentral
CAGUAGCGUAUAUUUAAGUUGCUGCAGUUAAAAAGCUCGUAGUUGGAUUUCGGGUGGGAAUGGCCGGUCCGCCGUUUCGGUGUGCACUUGCUACGCCCACCUUGCUGCCGGGGACGUGCUCUUGAGUUCACGCUCGGGACACGGAGUCGGCGAGGUUACUUUGAGUAAAUUAGAGUGUUCAAAGCAGGCCUACGCUCUGAAUACAUUAGCAUGGAAUAACACGAUAGGACUCUGGCCUAUCUUGUUGGUCUGUAGGACCGGAGUAAUGAUUAAGAGGGACAGUCGGGGGCACUCGUAUUUCAUUGUCAGAGGUGAAAUUCUUGGAUUUAUGAAAGACGAACUACUGCGAAAGCAUUUGCCAAGGAUGUUUUCAUUAA